GACGAACGCUGGCGGCGUGCUCAACACAUGCAAGUCGAACGGAAAGGCCCCAGCUUGGUGGGGUGCACGAGUGGCGAACGGGUGAGUAACACGUGGGUGACCUGCCCUGCACUUUGGGAUAACUCCGGGAAACUGGGUCUAAUACCGGAUAGGACCUCCCCCUGCGGGGUGGGUGGUAAGUUGUUCGGUGUGGGAUGGACCCGCGGCCUGUCAGCUUGUUGGUGGGGUGAUGGCCUACCAAGGCGGGGACGGGUAGCCGGCCUGAGAGGGUGGACGGCCACAUUGGGACUGAGAUACGGCCCAGACUCCUACGGGAGGCAGCAGUGGGGAAUAUUGCACAAUGGGCGGAAGCCUGAUGCAGCGACGCCGCGUGGGGGAUGACGGCCUUCGGGUUGUAAACGCCUUUCGCCAUCGACGAAGGGUGAGUGACGGUAGAUGGAGAAGAAGCACCGGCUAACUACGUG
Molecule: ribosomal RNA, 464 nt
Filed under: uncultured bacterium
Lineage: Bacteria
Description: partial 16S ribosomal RNA
Rfam family: Bacterial small subunit ribosomal RNA
Source: RNAcentral